RNAcentral lists this unclassified non-coding RNA (405 nucleotides) under soil metagenome. RNAcentral's name for it is "partial contains 5.8S ribosomal RNA, internal transcribed spacer 2, and large subunit ribosomal RNA". The stretch from base 1 to 121 matches the Rfam family "5.8S ribosomal RNA", at positions 35 to 154 of the family's 154-position model. The record is from RNAcentral.
GAUGAAGAACGUAGCGAAAUGCGAUAAGUAAUGUGAAUUGCAGAAUUCAGUGAAUCAUCGAAUCUUUGAACGCACCUUGCGCCCUUUGGCCAUUCCGAAGGGCAUGCCUGUUUGAGUAUCAUGAACACCUCAACUCUUUAUGGUUUUCCAUGAUGAGCUUGGACUCUGGGGGUUUUGCUGGCUCACAGUCGGCUCCUCUAAAAUAAAUCAGCUUACCAGUGUUUGGUGGGUAUCAUGGGUGUGAUAACUAUCUACGCUUGUGGUUUUUCCACCAGGUAACCUUCAGCAGUGGAGGUUCGCUGGAGCUCAUAGACGUCUCUCCUCAGUGAGGACAGCACUUUGAACGUUUGAUCUCAAAUCAGGUAGGACUACCCGCUGAACUUAAGCAUAUCAAUAAGCGGAGGA